GACGAACGCUGGCGGCGUGCUUAACACAUGCAAGUCGAACGGAAAGGCCCUGCUUGCAGGGUACUCGAGUGGCGAACGGGUGAGUAACACGUGGGUGAUCUGCCCUGCACUUCGGGAUAAGCUUGGGAAACUGGGUCUAAUACCGGAUAGGAACCAUCUUUAGUGUGGUGGUUGGAAAGUUUUUUCGGUGUAGGAUGAGCUCGCGGCCUAUCAGCUUGUUGGUGGGGUAAUGGCCUACCAAGGCGGCGACGGGUAGCCGGCCUGAGAGGGUGUACGGCCACAGUGGGACUGAGAUACGGCCCAGACUCCUACGGGAGGCAGCAGUGGGGAAUAUUGCACAAUGGGCGCAAGCCUGAUGCAGCGACGCCGCGUGGGGGAUGAAGGCCUUCGGGUUGUAAACUCCUGUCGCUAGGGACGAAGCUUUGUUGUGACGGUACCUAGAUAAGAAGCACCGGCUAACUACGUG
RNAcentral lists this ribosomal RNA (466 nucleotides) under uncultured bacterium. Its description in RNAcentral is "partial 16S ribosomal RNA". It matches the Rfam family "Bacterial small subunit ribosomal RNA", at positions 28 to 507 of the family's 1533-position model. The record is from RNAcentral.